CUAAGGCUCCAGAGGAAGCCACGGCUAACUCUGUGCCAGCAGCCGCGGUAAUACAGAGGCGGCAAGCGUUGUUCGGAAUUAUUGGGCGUAAAGAGCACGUAGGCGGCCCUGCAAGUCAGUUGUGAAAGCCUUCCGCUUAACGGAAGAAUGCCAGCUGAUACUACAGGGCUUGAGUACGGGAGGAGAGAGUGGAACUUCUGGUGGAGCGGUGGAAUGCGUAGAUAUCAGAAGGAACGCCGGCGGCGAAAGCGACUCUCUGGCCCGAAACUGACGCUGAGUGUGCGAAAGCUGGGGGAGCAAACGGGAUUAGAUACCCCGGUAGUCCUAGCCGUAAA
Molecule: ribosomal RNA, 335 nt
Filed under: uncultured Planctomycetales bacterium
Lineage: Bacteria; Pseudomonadati; Planctomycetota; Planctomycetia; Planctomycetales
Description: bacterial SSU rRNA
Rfam family: Bacterial small subunit ribosomal RNA
Source: RNAcentral